ACUGGGGAUAAUACUGGAUAUUAGGCUAUGCCUGGAAUGGUUUGCCUUUGAAAUGUUUUUUUCGCCUAAGGAUAGGUCUGCGGCUGAUUAGGUCGUUGGUGGGGUAAUGGCCCACCAAGCCGAUGAUCGGUACGGGUUGUGAGAGCAAGGGCCCGGAGAUGGAACCUGAGACAAGGUUCCAGACCCUACGGGGUGCAGCAGGCGCGAAACCUCCGCAAUGUACGAAAGUGCGACGGGGGGAUCCCAAGUGUUAUGCUUUUUUGUAUGACUUUUCAUUAGUGUAAAAAGCUUUUAGAAUAAGAGCUGGGCAAGACCGGUGCCAGCCGCCGCGGUAACACCGGCAGCUCGAGUGGUAGCUGUUUUUAUUGGGCCUAAAGCGUUCGUAGCCGGUUUGAUAAGUCUUUGGUGAAAGCUUGUAGCUUAACUAUAAGAAUUGCUGGAGAUACUAUUAGACUUGAAGUCGGGAGAGGUUAGAGGUACUACCGGGGUAGGGGUGAAAUCCUAUAAUCCUGGGAGGACCACCUGUGGCGAAGGCGUCUAACUGGAACGAUCUUGACGGUGAGUAACGAAAGCCAGGGGCGCGAACCGGAUUAGAUACCCGGGUAGUCCUGGCCGUAAACGAUGUGGACUUGGUGUUGGAAUGGCUUUGAGUUGUUCCGGCGCCGAAGGGAAGCUGUUAAGUCCACCGCCUGGGAAGUACGGUCGCAAGACUGAAACUUAA
This 721-nucleotide ribosomal RNA is filed under the name uncultured archaeon. RNAcentral's name for it is "bacterial SSU rRNA". It matches the Rfam family "Archaeal small subunit ribosomal RNA", at positions 139 to 859 of the family's 1478-position model. The record is from RNAcentral.